Molecule: long non-coding RNA, 286 nt
Filed under: Ictidomys tridecemlineatus (thirteen-lined ground squirrel)
Lineage: Eukaryota; Metazoa; Chordata; Mammalia; Rodentia; Sciuridae
Description: lncRNA (ENSSTOG00000033380.1)
Source: RNAcentral
CCAGAUGUCGCCCCCAAACAGGUGGGCCAGCUGCAAAGCUUUCAAAUGAAUCGUUCCAAUGCAGAGGAAGCCAAGUCAAAGCGUGGUGCGUGGAGGCCCAGGCAGAACUCACACCUUCACUGAAGGUGGGGACCAGAACUGAAACUAACUUCCAGGGCCAGGCUUUGGUUGAAGACCAUUUAACCAAAAGCAACUUGCCUUUUAGAUGCAGAGGUCUAUAAAGCUGUGGUUGGAGAUUUGAGAGAAAGCACGCAACGACACGAGACCAAGAUGAUGUAAGGUGGUG